This 406-nucleotide ribosomal RNA is filed under the name uncultured bacterium. RNAcentral's name for it is "partial 16S ribosomal RNA". It matches the Rfam family "Bacterial small subunit ribosomal RNA", at positions 29 to 526 of the family's 1533-position model. The record is from RNAcentral.
AUUGAACGCUGGCGGCAGGCCUAACACAUGCAAGUCGAACGCGUGGCGGACGGGCGAGUAGUGUGGGGGAAACUGCGCGAGGGAGGGGGAUAACUACGGGAAGCGGUAUCAUAUAGCGUAUACCAUCGUAAGUGCCUAGAUGUGAUGAGCGUGUAGGGGGGGUAACGGCUCACCUAGGCGACGAUCCCUAGCUGGUCUGAGAGGAUGACCAGCCACACUGGGACUGAGACACGGUCCAGACUCCUACGGGAGGCAGCAGUGGGGAAUAUUGCACAAUGGGCGCAAGCCUGAUGCAGCCAUGCCGCGUGUAUGAAGAAGGCCUUCGGGUUGUAAAGUACUUUCAGCGGGGAGGCGUUACUCGCAGAAGAAGCACCGGCUAACUCCGUGCCAGCAGCCGCGGUAAUUC